UAUGGGGAUGGGAGGUGGACGAUAUUCCAGAUGCCCUGUCGAAUGUUUUUCGAAGAACAUCAAGAUUCUUUAGAUGGCGUGACGUUGUGUUUAUGUUUCGAAUGUUCUAAGAUCGGACCGUUACAUCUUGUUAUGUCCCUUCGUGAUAUUUGAACGUGAUUUUGACGAAGGAGCAAAAGUUUAGGCACUUUCAAUGGAUGAAAUAUCCUUAAUCUUGGUCAGGCAACCAAGAGGAUGGGCAUUAAGUGUAUCACACUCUGGAGACAACAGACUUGCAGAAUCUUGAUGGUGCCAGAGUGUGGGUGUUUUGUCUGCAAUAUGACAACAUGAAAUCUUAGCAGAACUGAAGUGACUGCAUGAAGAAGAGUUAUGAAUGCUGAGAUGUGCACAACAAAAUUCUCAACACCCUGAAUCUUGAGUAUUGGGUAUAUCAGGAAAGCCAGAAUCCCAGACUGGUGAUUGUGAUCAGUCACUCAACAGGUUCCUGAGACCCCUUUGAGGCAGUGUCCUGCACAAGUCAAUGGUAUGAUCAGAUUUCUUUCAAACUGAAAAUUUUUGGAGCUAAUAUCUAUAGCACAGUGUUCACAAUAGAUGGGCAUAUUGCAUGUAACCUAGGGUUGAUGCAUUUACAAUGGCUAAACAAAUAUGCCCCAAACCAUGCAACAAAUUAUUUGUCAUCAGUAUCUACUACAGGUAUAUUACAGGAGGUUUUGAUGU
This is a long non-coding RNA of Branchiostoma floridae (Florida lancelet), 717 nucleotides long. RefSeq lists it as uncharacterized. The transcript is spliced from 4 exons. The record is from RefSeq and is a predicted model, not a curated record. NCBI's taxonomy places the organism in Eukaryota, Metazoa, Chordata, Leptocardii, Amphioxiformes, Branchiostomatidae.